Long non-coding RNA from Pogonomyrmex barbatus (red harvester ant), 557 nucleotides. RefSeq lists it as uncharacterized. Lineage: Eukaryota; Metazoa; Arthropoda; Insecta; Hymenoptera; Formicidae. The record is from RefSeq and is a predicted model, not a curated record.
AUAUCUCAUAUUUAUCUCACAAGCAAAAUCGUAAAAAUGAUCGCAUUUUGCGAAACGAGGUUAAUCGCGGCGCUUGAUAUGACGGGACAAAGGACAACAAUCUGUCACAACAAAUAUAAUUGGCACGCGAGGCUCUUGCCGCCUUAUAAAAGUCUGACGCUGAAUGAAUGAGGCCGCUUUAUUACCAUCUUAACUCACAUAGUGGUAUCGUAAAAGUCGCAAUUGAGUGAAAAAACACUGACGUUAAACGCCCUAUCACUGUUUACGCCAUAAAUUCUGAGAUCUUCCAUAAGGUUAACAGAACAUGUUAAGCUAUCCUCGUCCAUUAGUUAUACGUGGGAAUAAGAUUGAAGAGAAGAAAAAAAGAAAAACGCAAGAGUGCAUCGAGCAAAUCGAUGACGCGAUCGGCCGGCUGCUUCUAGAGCGAAACGACCCAGAUUCUACCGUACGCGCUUAUAAUCGGACUGAUAUUACAUCAGAAAGCAAUAUAUAUUCGCGUAAGAUAUUUGCCAUCACUGUGACCAAUCUUUAACAAUCAUUGACAAAUUGAAAUAAUG